This 4952-nucleotide long non-coding RNA is filed under the name Pelobates cultripes (western spadefoot toad). Lineage: Eukaryota; Metazoa; Chordata; Amphibia; Anura; Pelobatidae. The record is from RNAcentral.
AUAUAUUUAUUCAGUUAUUUAUUAUUUUGAUAAAGAGUCUAUUACUUUAUUAUAGGUGUGACCUGGGUAUCAAAUCAACUGUUAUAUUUAUUGUUCAUAUUUUCUGAAUUGAUGUUUAAUUGCACCUUACAUGAAUUUUAGUUAUUGUUCUAAGGAUGGGGCAGCAUGACAGGUAUAUCAAUAGAAAUGCCUUGCUUAAAGAUCCCCCCCACCCCUUGAAGAGUUUACAGCCUAAACCAUACCAAGGUUGUAUGGAUGUUUGUUUGUUAUUUGCCUAUAUGGUCUUUGUCCUAUGUAAACAUAUUUACUUAAAAACAAUCCUACUAAACUUCAAUAAAUGCAUAUAUGAACAAAAUAACACAGUUACCCCAGUGCUGUCCUGUUAAGUUACACAUAGUCAAUGGUUUCACAUUGAAUUUAUGAAGAUCUUCUAAAAAUGGGUAACUGUUAUUACAGGUAUUUAAUGAUAAAUGUAAAACCUGUUUUGGAAUGUUACAAGGACAUUAUUAUAUUUUAAUAAGGCUUUAAAAGAUAAUAUACAAAAUAAAUAAAUGCAAGUAAUAAGCUAUAUAUAUAUACUAACAUUGAAAGCUGUUGGAUUUGCUGCGACUCCACAAGAUUUGCAGCUUAUGUAGCGAGCUCUCACCAAAGCAGAAGGUAGUUCGGCCAAACGUAAUGCUUAUUUAACCUUCUAUAGCAGUGCUAUAAAUUCCUUCCAAAUAGUGCUGUAUGUGCAUAGCUGGGAAUUCAAUGAGUUAUAGUUCAAUUGUCACAAUUAAUGACAUGCAGGGUUAUUCACUUAAAGGGACACUCAAGUGCCAGGAAAACAAAUCAUUUUCCUGGCACUGCAGGUCCCCUCUCCCUCCCACCCCCCAUCCCAUGUUGCUGAAGGGGUUAGAACCCCUUCAGUGACUUACCUGAGACCAGCGCCGAUGUCCUUUGGCGCUGGUUUAGGGUCCGCCCACGCUCCUCCCCGGCGGGGGAGACCGAUUGUGCAUGCGCUGUCGCGCACACGCAUUAGACCUCUCCAUAGGAAAGCAUUGAAAAUGCUUUACAAUGAGGAUUUUAGCGACGCUGGAGGUCCUCACAUAGUGUGAGGACAUCCAGCGACGCUAUAGCACAGAAAACCUGUGGUAUAAACCAGGAAGUGCCCUCUAGUGGCUGUCUAGUAGACCGCCACUAGAGAAGGAGUUAACCCUGCAAUGUAAAUAUUGCAGUUUAUGAAAACAGCAAUAUUUACAGUUGCAGGGUUAAGGGUAGUGGGAGUUGGCACCCAGACCACUCCAAUGGGCAGAAGUGGUCUGGGUUCCUGGAGUGUCCCUUUAAGUGAGAAUUCACAGUGAAUUUUACAUUUAAGACCAAAGUAGCUGAGCUGAAAUCAUAGGAGAUGAUUUUUACAGUUCCAGUAAUUUACCUUACAUUUGAAGUUCACUUUGAAUUUUCACUUUAGUGAAUAAUCCUGUUAAAGUAUGCUAUAUUAUUGGAGCAAAAUAGGAAACACUGUCGGUUCAGGAUGGGUUGAGGGAUUGAAAAUGAACUAAUUCCUGAUUGAUUGAUUGAUAAGAAUUCUUGAUGUUAAUGGAGGAAAAUACAUUUAAAUAUUAUCAACUCAUUCACCAAAAAGAAAUAACUGAUCAAGUGGCAAUCUAGAAAAUAGAUAGAAGGGUGGAAAUUUAAAUAAAUGUAUGGUUUGAACAGUCCAUUACUCCUUUUUAUGCAUUUUCCAUAUAUUUUAAUGGAGAAAGUUUUUUUUUUUUUUUUCUCCAUGUAUGCUGCUAACAUGACAAAUUUGAAGUAUUUUAAGCAGUAAGUUUUUAAAGGGACACUCCAGACUCCUAUAGCACUUUAGUGGUUAACGUGUGUACUUUUUUUUUGUUUUACAAAAAGUUCAGUUUUCAGUAGAAAUCGGGACAUUUAUAAAUUAACCUUGUUACACCUCCCCUCAGAUGUCAAUCAGGUAGCAGGUCCUGCAACUGCCUACUCAGGGGGGCUCAAGAGGCAGAAAUUUCCCAGAGCACCUGCCUUGCAUAGUUUUCUCAUUGAGUUGCAUUUUGAAGUCUGUGAUUGGACAGCCAUAGAAAGUCUGGACUGGGGAAGAAGGGGACAACAGAUCUGCAGCUUUGUGCAAGCUGUUUUUAGAUAUACCCCAAUGAAAAAAUGCAUAAUUAAAUACAUUAAAUUUUUCAUUCAGGUUUUUUUUUUUUAGUGAACAGUCAUUUAUAUUUAUUUCUAUUUCUUGGAGGAGUGUAAUAGAAACUCAUCCCCAUGCAUUUUCUCCUUGUUGGACUGCAAGCACUAUAGGGGAACACUAUAGGGUCAUUAAAACAAAAAGGUGCUCCCCAUGCGCUUCCUUGGUGACAUUAUCUAAAUUGCCGAUUUUUAGCCAAUCCGAGGCUUUCCCAUAGGGGGCGUGGCCAAACACCAUUUUGGUCAAAGAGCACCUUCUCAUAGAAUCAAUCAUUGAAUCAAUGCAUCUCUAUGAGUAAAAUUCAGCUUCUCCAUGCAGAGCAAUGUAAACACUGUCUUGUCUCUGAAAAGGCAGUGUUUGCAUAAAAAUGCCUGAAGGGAAUGAUUAUACUCACCAGAACAUUAAGCUGUAGUUGUUCUGGUGACUAAAGUGUCCCUUUAAGGUUUAGUCAAUUAACAUGGAAUUACUGUAACAAACAAAUUGUGAAAAUCAGACUAAAUAGCUGUGGUUAUAGCUUACCUGGAGACUUUUAUGCAGUUUGCGUUUCAAUCCACUACAAUUAGCUGUUUGGCGAAUUAAUGCCAGAAUGUCUUCAGCUUGUUUAUUUAUUUAUUUUUUAAUAUAAUUUUAUUAUUAAAAAGAAAGAAGGAAAGAUUGAUUAUUUUUUUUUAUUACUACUUAUAUGACUAUCCAUGCAUUCAGAAUAUUUAAACCAAGAACAAAAAGUGAAUUACAUUUCAUUUUAAUUAGUAAUGUCUCCUAAUUAAUCAUGAGAAGAAUCACGUUUCCACACAUUUCAGUGCCUAUUUUAACUGAUGUGAUACUUUACCGUUUGUUUUGUUCCACCUGUUCAUUGCAUAUGUUGUUUGAUUUUACAUUUUCUUAUCUAUUUGUGGCAUUUGUUAUAUGGUCAUUUUACUGCAUUUGCUAUUUUAUGGCAAGAAAAUGAAUGAUAAAACUUUCGAUCUGUAAUACAUUUUCUAUUUGAUCCUUUGGUGAUUGAAGAGCGAAAUAAAUAUUUUAAGGCCUCCUGCAAUUUUACUAGUUGUGUGAUAUCCAAAAGCUUGUCAGUUAGAUUCAAAACCUCAAUGAUUGUAAAUCCCAUUUGUUAAAAAUAUCUGAUCUGACAAUAUCACCCCUUCAAUACAAUACUGUGAAAAUAUAAACUUUGGUCAAUAAUAUUAAUAUUGCCUGAAAUGCUGAGAUCCUGUCGCUAUUAUAUUUCAGAAUGUUUGUGUAUUAGGUUCCCAGCCUAUAAAAAGAUUUUAUCUCAGAACUUUCAGGACUCCAGGUAGUUGUACUAAUAUGUAGUGAUCUUAUUACCAUCACUGAAAAUAUAGGUCAGAAUACAAUGAAAUAAUUUGAGACUGGUCUAAUUUGUAAACGUUGAAGUGCUGAUUAGUAGAUAUACUCCCAAGCCUCCCUGUGCUAUAUUAAAACUGCACAUCUAUUUAUAUAAUGAAAAGUCAGCCUAGAAGUCUUGGGGAAAUGCAAUUGCCUCAGUUCUGUUGAAGGAAAUGAAUGAAUGAGACUCAUUUGGUAAGCAAACCACUAAGAAUGGGUAUGUGUGCAUGCCACUCAGAUUCACUACUUACCUACGCAGCUUUAUUAUUUGGCAGCGCACGUCUUAUUGAUUGUUGUUUUUAUUUAUUUUUAUUUUAGUUACUAUAUCACUGAUUUAUUUAUCUAUUUAUAUUUUAAAUGAGUUAAUUAUAUCACGGUUGUGUCUGUUUACACUACUCUGUAAUCUUUAAAUCAGAUUCAUACUACUGUUUCUGUUCACAUUUCAAUAUUUAUUGAUUUUCUUUGUAUUUUUUUUAAAAUCUCUGUGGAUUAUGGAUUAACCAAAAGGCAAUCAAUGGGUAAAACGGUUUCCCCAAAUCUGGGUGCCACCUGCAGUGGCACCACAAUAUAGAAUUGUUCUGAUAGCACAUUUGAGAUAUAUAACAGGUGUGUGAGAUAGACAAUACAUGCACUGACAUGCAGAUAACAUGGGGAAAUAAAUGUAUAUCUGUGUGUACAUUUACUGUAUUUCGGUAAAUUUUAAUAUUAUUGCCCUAAUUUAUUUGCUAAACAAGGAGUUCACAAGGAUGUUUCAAAAUAACAAGAGCAAAGUUGGUAAGCAUACACAGACUCCCCUGAAUUGGAGACGUCUGUCUUUCAACUUACCACAACUCCUUGAGUUAUAUUAAGCUGUACAUGUGGACAUAAUUGGCCUUCCAGCUGUUGGGAACUGCAUUUCCCUGCACCUCGCAGGUGUACAAUUAUUAUUUUAUAUGCAUUUUCCUGCAGAGUAAAUUUUAGACCAAAAUAGCCAGAUUUGAUUAAUUUUCUUUGAAUUAAUGAAAAUUCACACUUUCUUUUUUGCACAUGGUCAGUACCAGAAACCAUCAAGUCAAAUAUGAAAGGUCUUAGUCAUCCAAGCAACUCAAAAGCUUGAAUAUGGAAAGUUAUGGCAAUUUAUCAGUGGAGUUGCAAAAUGGAGGCCUAAUUAGCGAAGCUGGAAACAUAGGCCAUGUUGAGGAUUGCGGUCUAGAUUUUAUUCACUUGGCAGUUCACCACAAUUUCCUGUCUCGUGAAUUCAUUCCUUGUGAAUUCCUAUGUGAAUUUCUUGCACUUUUCUCACUUUGGUUUUCUGUUUACACAUUAAGAUCUUGUUUGUCAGAGUGAGAUAUUUAUUAAAGUAAAUCAUAAAUGUUAUUUAUUUGCACUUUAUGACAUUUUUGUUUUGUACUUUUGAUCACCUGUAUGAAACUGUUUGUUC